This 466-nucleotide ribosomal RNA is filed under the name uncultured bacterium. RNAcentral describes it as "bacterial SSU rRNA". It matches the Rfam family "Bacterial small subunit ribosomal RNA", at positions 64 to 524 of the family's 1533-position model. The record is from RNAcentral.
GAGCGGAGUUAUUCGCCGGUAGCGGCCUUCGGGCCAAUCCUUGAGUAACUUAGCGGCGGACGGGUGAGUAACAGGUGGGUAAUCUGCCCUUUGCUGUGGGAUAACAGCCGGAAACGGUUGCUAAUACCGCAUAAGCACACACAAUCGCAUGGUUGAGUGUGAAAAGAUUUAUCGGCAAAGGAGGAGCCCGCCCUGAAUUAGUUAGUUGGUGGGGUAAUGGCCUACCAAGACCGCGAUUCAUAGCCGAACUGAGAGGUUGAUCGGCCACACCGGGACUGAUACACGGCCCGGACUCCUACGGGAGGCAGCAGUGAGGGAUAUUGCACAAUGGGCGAAAGCCUGAUGCAGCAACGCCGCGUGAAGGAAGAAGGCCUUCGGGUUGUAAACUUCUAUCGAUGGGGACGAAAAAAAUGACGGUACCCAAGUAAGAAGCCCCGGCUAACUACGUGCCAGCAGCCGCGGUAAU